This 373-nucleotide non-coding RNA is filed under the name Blumeria hordei DH14. Its description in RNAcentral is "Blumeria graminis f. sp. hordei DH14 Eukaryotic large subunit ribosomal RNA". It matches the Rfam family "Eukaryotic large subunit ribosomal RNA", at positions 1 to 368 of the family's 3401-position model. Lineage: Eukaryota; Fungi; Ascomycota; Leotiomycetes; Helotiales; Erysiphaceae. The record is from Rfam by way of RNAcentral.
UGACCUCGAAUCAGGUAGGGAUACCCGCUGAACUUAAGCAUAUCAAUAAGCGGAGGAAAGAGAAACCAACAGGGAUUACCUCAGUAACGGCGAGUGAAGCGGUAACAGCUCAAAUUUGAAAUCUGGUCCGGUUACGGGCCCGAGUUGUAAUUUGUAGAAGAUGCUUUGGUAAUGAGUCCGGCCUAAGUUCCUUGGAACAGGACGUCAUAGAGGGUGAGAACCCCGUAUGCGGCCGAGUACUCAGUGCCAUGUAAAGCUCUUUCGACGAGUCGAGUUGUUUGGGAAUGCAGCUCAAAAUGGGUGGUAAAUUUCAUCUAAAGCUAAAUAUUGGCCAGAGACCGAUAGCGCACAAGUAGAGUGAUCGAAAGAUGAA